RNAcentral lists this ribosomal RNA (435 nucleotides) under Bacillus siamensis. RNAcentral describes it as "bacterial SSU rRNA". It matches the Rfam family "Bacterial small subunit ribosomal RNA", at positions 56 to 474 of the family's 1533-position model. The record is from RNAcentral. Lineage: Bacteria; Bacillati; Bacillota; Bacilli; Caryophanales; Bacillaceae.
UGCAGUCGAGCGGACAGAUGGGAGCUUGCUCCCUGAUGUUAGCGGCGGACGGGUGAGUAACACGUGGGUAACCUGCCUGUAAGACUGGGAUAACUCCGGGAAACCGGGGCUAAUACCGGAUGGUUGUUUGAACCGCAUGGUUCAGACAUAAAAGGUGGCUUCGGCUACCACUUACAGAUGGACCCGCGGCGCAUUAGCUAGUUGGUGAGGUAACGGCUCACCAAGGCGACGAUGCGUAGCCGACCUGAGAGGGUGAUCGGCCACACUGGGACUGAGACACGGCCCAGACUCCUACGGGAGGCAGCAGUAGGGAAUCUUCCGCAAUGGACGAAAGUCUGACGGAGCAACGCCGCGUGAGUGAUGAAGGUUUUCGGAUCGUAAAGCUCUGUUGUUAGGGAAGAACAAGUGCCGUUCAAAUAGGGCGGCACCUUGACG